This 326-nucleotide ribosomal RNA is filed under the name Salmonella enterica subsp. enterica serovar Anatum. Its description in RNAcentral is "bacterial SSU rRNA". It matches the Rfam family "Bacterial small subunit ribosomal RNA", at positions 1 to 321 of the family's 1533-position model. The record is from RNAcentral. Lineage: Bacteria; Pseudomonadati; Pseudomonadota; Gammaproteobacteria; Enterobacterales; Enterobacteriaceae.
UUAAAUUGAAGAGUUUGAUCAUGGCUCAGAUUGAACGCUGGCGGCAGGCCUAACACAUGCAAGUCGAACGGUAACAGGAAGCAGCUUGCUGCUUUGCUGACGAGUGGCGGACGGGUGAGUAAUGUCUGGGAAACUGCCUGAUGGAGGGGGAUAACUACUGGAAACGGUGGCUAAUACCGCAUAACGUCGCAAGACCAAAGAGGGGGACCUUCGGGCCUCUUGCCAUCAGAUGUGCCCAGAUGGGAUUAGCUUGUUGGUGAGGUAACGGCUCACCAAGGCGACGAUCCCUAGCUGGUCUGAGAGGAUGACCAGCCACACUGGAACUG